CUUUGCUGAUAUGUUGUUUCAUACUUGCAAAUACAAGAUACGCAGCAUCGCUUGAGUGUUAUAGCUGUUCCAACAUUGAGGAUAUAAACAACUGUACUCACACUGUUCAGUGCAGCGCCGGUCACUCAUGCUACCAAGACACAACAACUAAUGGACAGUCUCGGAUUUAUACACUAGGAUGUAUAGACAAACAUCAAUGCGGUACCCACGGGGGCGGUGCAUCCGAACUGGCGGGUCGAGAUUUACAGGAACGACAAACUGACCAUUGUCAUGAAUGUUGCGGCACUGACGAUUGUAAUAAACAUCUCUGCGAACAUCUCAAACCUACUACAUGCAUAGAUGACGUUAAAAUCGACUGUGCAUUCCUGAACACGGUGACAAAUAUUUGAGAAGACAUCCAUCAUGCAAAAACAAUUUGUCCUCGAUUUUGCGACCUCUGCUCUCUGG
Molecule: long non-coding RNA, 447 nt
Organism: Mercenaria mercenaria
Lineage: Eukaryota; Metazoa; Mollusca; Bivalvia; Venerida; Veneridae
Exons: 5
Source: RefSeq, a predicted model, not a curated record